GACGAACGCUGGCGGCGUGCUUAACACAUGCAAGUCGAACGGAAAGGCCCUGCUUUUGUGGGGUGCUCGAGUGGCGAACGGGUGAGUAACACGUGAGUAACCUGCCCUUGACUUUGGGAUAACUUCAGGAAACUGGGGCUAAUACCGGAUAGGAGCUCCUGCUGCAUGGUGGGGGUUGGAAAGUUUCGGCGGUUGGGGAUGGACUCGCGGCUUAUCAGCUUGUUGGUGGGGUAGUGGCUUACCAAGGCUUUGACGGGUAGCCGGCCUGAGAGGGUGACCGGCCACAGUGGGACUGAGAUACGGCCCAGACGCCUACGGGAGGCAGCAGUGGGGAAUAGUGCACAAUGGGCGGAAGCCUGAUGCAGCAACGCCGCGUGCGGGAUGACGGCCGUAGGGUUGUAAACCGCUUUCGCCUGUGACGAAGCGUGAGUGACGGUAAUGGGUAAAGAAGCACCGGCUAACUACGUG
RNAcentral lists this ribosomal RNA (468 nucleotides) under uncultured bacterium. RNAcentral describes it as "partial 16S ribosomal RNA". It matches the Rfam family "Bacterial small subunit ribosomal RNA", at positions 28 to 507 of the family's 1533-position model. The record is from RNAcentral.